RNAcentral lists this ribosomal RNA (1963 nucleotides) under human gut metagenome. RNAcentral's name for it is "bacterial LSU rRNA". It matches the Rfam family "Bacterial large subunit ribosomal RNA", at positions 1 to 1977 of the family's 2925-position model. The record is from RNAcentral.
GUGAACAAUUAAGGGCGCGCGGUGGAUGCCUAGGCUCUCGGAGGCGAAGAAGGACGCGAUAAGCCGCGAUAGUCCACGGCGAGGUGCAAGUAACCCUUGACCCGUGGGUUUCCGAAUGGGGCAACCCGGCCGUCUAGAUGACGGUCAUGCAUUAUCAUGCAGGCGAACGCGGGGAACUGAAACAUCUCAUUACCCGCAGGAGAAGAAAACAAAAUGUGAUUCCCCCAGUAGUGGCGAGCGAACGGGGAAGAGCCCAAACCGCUGCCGUUUCGGCGACAGCGGGGUCAUGGGACCACGCCAUUCGAAACAAGAUGAAGUGCAAUUACCUGGAAAGGUAAGCCGCGGAGGGUGAUAGCCCCGUGCACGUCAAUUCUUGUGGAGAUAGUGGAAUCCCGAGUAGGGCGGGACACGAGAAAUCCUGCCUGAAUUCGCCAGGACCUCCUGGCAAGGCUAAAUACUCCCGAGAGACCGAUAGUGAACCAGUACCGUGAGGGAAAGGUGAAAAGAACCCCGAGCAGGGGGGUGAAAUAGACCCUGAACCCGCGCGCCUACAAGCGGUCGGAGCCACGCGAUGUGGUGACGGCGUGCCUUUUGCAUAAUGAGCCUACGAGUUAGUCGUCACCAGCGAGGUUAAGGGCUUCAGGCCCGUAAGCCGAAGUGAAAGCGAGCCUUAACAGGGCGUCAAGUUGGUGGCGCUAGACGCGAAACCUUGUGAUCUACCCACGAGCAGGUUGAAGUCGCGGUAACACGUGAUGGAGGACCGAACCGGUAAACGUUGAAAAGUUUUCGGAUGACUCGCGGGUAGGGGUGAAAGGCCAAUCAAACUGGGAAAUAGCUCGUACUCUCCGAAAUGCAUUUCGGUGCAGCCUGUGAUGUUCUGUUCCAGAGGUAGAGCUACUGGUUGGACGCGAGGGCUUCACCGCCUAUCAAAUCCGGAUAAACUCCGAAUGCUGGAACACGAAAUCAUGGAGUGAGCCCGCGGGUGCUAAGGUCCGCGGACGAGAGGGAAAGAACCCGGACCACCGGCUAAGGUCCCGGAUGGACAGUUAAGUUGAUCAAACGAGGUGGGAUCGCGGAGACAGCUAGGAUGUUGGCUUGGAAGCAGCCAUUCAUUUAAAGAGUGCGUAACAGCUCACUAGUCGAGCGAUCCCGCGUGGAUAAUACACGGGCAUUAAACUGUCAACCGAAGCCGUGGGGUCAGCGAAAAGCUGACCGGUAGGAGAGCAUUCCUGCCAGCGUCGAAGGUCACCCGCGAGAGUGACUGGAGCGGCAUGAAAAGCAAAUGUAGGCAUAAGUAACGAUAAUGGGGGCGAGAACCCCCCACGCCGCAAGACCAAGGCUUCCCCGGCAAUGUCAAUCAGCCGGGGGUCAGCCGGCCUCUAAGGCUAACCCGAAGGGGGAUGCCGACGAGAAACGGGUUAACAUUCCCGUGCUUCUCGUCACCGUGACGCGGUGACGGGGUGAUGAAUGGACCGCGCGCUGACGGAAUAGCGCGUUGAAGGCCGUACCCUUCGAGGGUGGUAGUCAAGCACGCCACCCGAGGCGAUAGCCGAUAGUACCACGAGACUCCGGUCGAGUGGAUAGCGUCCAGGCAAUUUACCCCCGAGAAAACCCGCUAAACUUCAAGUGACGAGGAACCGUACUGUAAACGGACACACGUGGUCGGGUAGAACAUACCAAGGCGCUCGAGUGAUUCAUGGUCAAGGAACUAGGCAAAAUAGUCCUGUAACUUCGGGAAAAAGGACGCUCUAGUGAUAGAGCCGCAGAGUAAUGGCCCAGGCGACUGUUUACCAAAAACACAUGGCUAUGCCAAAUCGAAAGAUGACGUAUAUGGCCUGACACCUGCCCGGUGCCGGAAGGUUAAGAGGAGAGCUCAUCGGAAACGAGAAGGUUUGAAUUGAAGCCCCGGUAAACGGCGGCCGUAACUAUAACGGUCCUAAGGUAGCGAAAUUCCUUGUCGGGU